RNAcentral lists this long non-coding RNA (222 nucleotides) under Trifolium pratense (red clover). RNAcentral's name for it is "long non-coding RNA (TPRA_LNC013971)". The record is from RNAcentral. Lineage: Eukaryota; Viridiplantae; Streptophyta; Magnoliopsida; Fabales; Fabaceae.
GAAAAGUUCUUUUGCAGUGAUCCUGAAACACAAAGAGAUGGUGGCUAGAUUGGUUCUUCCUCAACCGGUACCCUGAUGCCUUGAUUCUCUUCAGAUGGGGAGAAGAGAGUGUUUUCUUUUGUACGGUGUAUUGGGGACCAUAGCCUUAUAUAGGGUGAUGGCCCAUUAGGGUUCCCAUUAUCCCGAAAUGGGCCAUCAUGACAUCCACCCAUUUGAGCCCAU